This 255-nucleotide ribosomal RNA is filed under the name uncultured bacterium. RNAcentral describes it as "partial 16S ribosomal RNA". It matches the Rfam family "Bacterial small subunit ribosomal RNA", at positions 524 to 776 of the family's 1533-position model. The record is from RNAcentral.
UACGUAGGGGGCAAGCGUUGUCCGGAUUUAUUGGGCGUAAAGAGCGUGUAGGCGGUUUGGUAGGUCCGCUGUGAAAACUCGAGGCUCAACCUCGAGACGCCGGUGGAAACCAUCAGACUAGAGUCCGGAAGAGGAGAGUGGAAUUCCUGGUGUAGCGGUGAAAUGCGCAGAUAUCAGGAGGAACACCGGUGGGCGAAGGCGGGUCUCUGGGCCGAUACUGACGCUGGAGGAGCGAAAGCGUGGGGAGCGAACAGG